RNAcentral lists this ribosomal RNA (429 nucleotides) under uncultured bacterium. RNAcentral's name for it is "bacterial SSU rRNA". It matches the Rfam family "Bacterial small subunit ribosomal RNA", at positions 62 to 507 of the family's 1533-position model. The record is from RNAcentral.
UCGAACGAGAAAGUGGAGCAAUCCAUGAGUACAGUGGCGACCGGGUGAGUAACACGUGACCAACCUGCCCUCGAGUGGGGAAUAACUCCGGGAAACCGGGGCUAAUACCGCAUAACAUCCUCGGAUCGGAAGAACUGGGGAUCAAAGGAGCAAUUCGCUUGAGGAGGGGGUCGCGGCUGAUUAGCUAGUUGGCGGGGUAACGGCCCACCAAGGCAAAGAUCGGUAUCCGGCCUGAGAGGGCGCACGGACACACUGGAACUGAAACACGGUCCAGACUCCUACGGGAGGCAGCAGUGGGGAAUUUUGCGCAAUGGGGAAACCCUGACGCAGCAACGCCGCGUGGAGGAUGAAGUCCCUUGGGACGUAGACUCCUUUCGACCGGGACGAUAAUGACGGUACCNGGUGGAAGAAGCACCGGCUAACUCUGUG